RNAcentral lists this ribosomal RNA (393 nucleotides) under uncultured bacterium. RNAcentral's name for it is "partial 16S ribosomal RNA". It matches the Rfam family "Bacterial small subunit ribosomal RNA", at positions 523 to 918 of the family's 1533-position model. The record is from RNAcentral.
AUACGGAGGAUCCGAGCGUUAUCCGGAUUUAUUGGGUUUAAAGGGUGCGCAGGCGGGAGAUUAAGUCGGCGGUGAAAUUUUGCAGCUCAACUGUAAAAAUGCCUUUGAAAAUGGUUUUCUUGAGUGUAGAUGUAGUAGGCGGAAUUUGUGGUGUAGCGGUGAAAAGCAUAGAUAUCACGAGGAACUCCGAUUGCGCAGGCAUCAUACUAAACUACUACGGACGCUCAGGCACUAAGGCGUGGGGAUUAAACAGGAUUAGAUACCCUGGUAGUCCACGCCGUGAACGAUGAUUACUAGCUGUUUGCAAUACAAUGUAAGCGGCUGAGCGAAAACGUUAAGUAAUCCACCUGGGGAGUACGGUCGCAAGGCUGAAACUCGAAUGAAUUGACAAGA